This is a transfer RNA of Thermoplasma acidophilum DSM 1728, 73 nucleotides long. It matches the Rfam family "tRNA". Rfam says of the family: Transfer RNA (tRNA) molecules are approximately 80 nucleotides in length. Their secondary structure includes four short double-helical elements and three loops (D, anti-codon, and T loops). Further hydrogen bonds mediate the characteristic L-shaped molecular structure. tRNAs have two regions of fundamental functional importance: the anti-codon, which is responsible for specific mRNA codon recognition, and the 3' end, to which the tRNAs corresponding amino acid is attached (by aminoacyl-tRNA synthetases). tRNAs cope with the degeneracy of the genetic code in two manners: having more than one tRNA (with a specific anti-codon) for a particular amino acid; and 'wobble' base-pairing, i.e. permitting non-standard base-pairing at the 3rd anti-codon position. NCBI's taxonomy places the organism in Archaea, Methanobacteriati, Thermoplasmatota, Thermoplasmata, Thermoplasmatales, Thermoplasmataceae. The record is from Rfam.
GCCGUCGUAGCUCAGCCUGGUAGAGCGCGUGCUUGGUAAGCACGAGUCGCGGGUCCAAACCCCGUCGGCGGCU